UACGGAGGAUGCAAGCGUUAUCCGGAAUGAUUGGGCGUAAAGCGUCCGCAGGUGGCUAUGUAAGUCUGCUGUUAAAGAGUGAGGCUCAACCUCAUAAGAGCAGUGGAAACUACAUGGCUAGAGUGCGUUCGGGGCAGAGGGAAUUCCUGGUGUAGCGGUGAAAUGCGUAGAUAUCAGGAAGAACACCGGUGGCGAAAGCGCUCUGCUAGGCCGCAACUGACACUGAGGGACGAAAGCGUGGGGAGCAAACAGG
RNAcentral lists this ribosomal RNA (253 nucleotides) under uncultured bacterium. RNAcentral describes it as "partial 16S ribosomal RNA". It matches the Rfam family "Bacterial small subunit ribosomal RNA", at positions 524 to 776 of the family's 1533-position model. The record is from RNAcentral.